UACGGGGGGGGCAAGCGUUGUUCGGAAUUACUGGGCGUAAAGGGCGCGUAGGCGGCCUUCUAAGUCGGACGUGAAAUCCCUCGGCUUAACCGAGGAACUGCGUCCGAUACUGAAAGGCUUGAAUCCGGGAGAGGGAUGUGGAAUUCCAGGUGUAGCGGUGAAAUGCGCAGAUAUCAGGAGGAACACCGAUGGCGAAGGCAGCUCGCUGGGACGGUACUGACGCUGAGGCGCGAAAGCGUGGGGAGCAAACAGG
This 253-nucleotide ribosomal RNA is filed under the name uncultured bacterium. RNAcentral's name for it is "partial 16S ribosomal RNA". It matches the Rfam family "Bacterial small subunit ribosomal RNA", at positions 524 to 776 of the family's 1533-position model. The record is from RNAcentral.